Pseudophryne corroboree (corroboree frog) is the source of this 2191-nucleotide long non-coding RNA. RefSeq lists it as uncharacterized. NCBI's taxonomy places the organism in Eukaryota, Metazoa, Chordata, Amphibia, Anura, Myobatrachidae. The record is from RefSeq and is a predicted model, not a curated record. The transcript is spliced from 6 exons.
GACCGUCAAGCGGCGCCGCGUAGCGGCCGGUCUGGGAUAAUGCAGUAGCAGUUGGACCUCGGUCUAUCCCAGAUCGUCAUCUAGGCUCGAGCGUGUUUAUGUAACUCCAGUGCUAUGCUGUGUCUCUGGGAGGAGGAGACGGCAGAGCUGGGAGUAGAAGGUGGCAGCAUGGCAAAGAUGAGGCAGCCUUGCACCAGGCACAGAGAGGAGAAGGAGAUGGCAGAGCAGGGAGAAGAAGGCAUGGCAAAGAAGAGGUGGCCGCACAGCAGGCAUAGGGAGGAGGAGGCGGCAGCAUGGAGAUGAGUAGAAGAAAUCGGCACGUGGAGCAGGCUUUGUCCCUGUUGUUGCGCCUGGUUGCCGUGGCGACGUAUGUAGCUCCCAGCAUACACUGUACCGGAAAUGGGGCUGGCGGUGCUGGCCGGAGCUGCGGGGACCUCACGAUCAGUUCACUAUAUAUUUAAGUCUCCAAAAAGUCACAAAGACCCCCUGGGCCAGUCUCCACUCCUACUGAAGCUGAGGAUGCUGAUGAUGCUGGUCCAUCCACACACGUGUUGCCACCACGGAAACGCCGUCUGGGUGUGUCUUCUAGGCUAGUACACAUCACAACACCAUGGCAACGCAUGUUGGAGGCAUCAGCCAUACCACCAAUGCAGCUCCUCGACAGUCCGCAGCCAUUGUCAUCACAUUCGCCACACCUGCCUGGGGAUCCCAUUCUUCACCCAACUCAGCCGGACAAGUGCAGGAACCUGACAAUGAAGAGACAUUCACCUUAAAUCUCACAGCAAUACCACCGCCUGACCCAACAACUACACAUUUGUCUACUCUGCCCACUCAAAGGACACCAGGACAGGAAAUGAGCCCUACCACACCACUACCACAGUCUCAGGAACAGGCUUUUUGGGACAGCUGGUCCAUCCAGCAUGCCAAUAACUUAGAUUGUUUGCAUAGGCAAACCCAAUUUAUUGAUAGUCUGGUCCAUCACGUCCCAAGAUUAUGCAGAAACAACACUAGACAAACCACAGAACUGACCAAAUUGCUAACACCCUGGAAUUAAUGAGGGCAGACAAUAAUAGGAUGCUAGACACAUACCAAAGAAUCAUGGAUGAGAAUCACAGGCUCCAUCAAGCCUACCUACAGAUAUUAACUUCAACACAAAACACACAAGAGAACAUGGUCCGAAUCAUGGAAACCCACACGACAGCCACUAGAGACUUGAAUAUCACUCUAACUACCCUAACCCAACAUCUCAGACCUUAAUCUGAGCAAACAAGUACCAGUUCUACAGCAACAACCCCCUUAGUGUCACCUGUAACCUCACCACCAAGAUGUGCUGGCCGAACACGACCAGACACAAGUGGGAAAGGCCCAUCCAGCUCCAGAGGACGACCUGCAAAAUAAUUUAUCUUAAUCAUGUGUUUGAAAUGGACAUUGGUAAUUGUAUGCAAAUAGCAUUUUACAUGUUCUGGUCAAAAUUAAGGCCAUGGUUUAUUUUUUUGUAAACAAAUGUUACGGAGGGUAUCCGGUCUCUAGGUCGACAAGACAUAGGUCGACCGUGUCUAUCCACUAUUGGUCGACAGUAACUAGGUCAACUGGGUUUCUAGGUCGACAUGUUCUAGGUCGACGGGUCAAAAAGUCAACAUGAGUUUUUCACUUUUUUCUUUUUUUAAACUUUUUCAUACUUUACGAUCCACGUGGACUAUGUUUGGGAAUGGUAACCUGUGCUGAGCGCAGCGGUAAUGGAGUGAGGCAACUUGCCCGAAGCAUGGCUUGCGAAGCGAGCCAUGCGAGGCGACGCGGUGCACUAACUGGGGUUCCCGGUCACUGUACGGCGAAAAUGUCACCAACAUUUUUUUUUAAAGUCACGUCGACAUUUUGACCUGUUGACCUAGAGACCCUGGCGACCUAGAAUCCAUAUCGACCUAGUUACUGUCAACCAAUAGUGGUCGACCUAGACACUGUCGACCUAAGUGUGGUCAACCUUCAAUACCAGACCCAUUACAAAUCAACAUAUCCAAGACUAAAACCAAGGCAAAAAAUAAAAAAGUUGUCUGUCAAUUAUUUCUAGAGUAAUUAGAGUACAGUUGUUUAAGUAUAUAAUAUGCAUGGUGACAUUCAAGCAACAUAGAUUACGCAUGCAGCAGUGGUAAAGUAUUGAUAUAGGGGAUAAUUCCAAGUUGAUCGCAGCAGGAAU